GAUGAACGCUGGCGGCGUGCCUAAUACAUGCAAGUCGAGCGAACGGACGAGAAGCUUGCUUCUCUGAUGUUAGCGGCGGACGGGUGAGUAACACGUGGAUAACCUACCUAUAAGACUGGGAUAACUUCGGGAAACCGGAGCUAAUACCGGAUAAUAUUUUGAACCGCAUGGUUCAAAAGUGAAAGACGGUCUUGCUGUCACUUAUAGAUGGAUCCGCGCUGCAUUAGCUAGUUGGUAAGGUAACGGCUUACCAAGGCAACGAUACAUAGCCGACCUGAGAGGGUGAUCGGCCACACUGGAACUGAGACACGGUCCAGACUCCUACGGGAGGCAGCAGUAGGGAAUCUUCCGCAAUGGGCGAAAGCCUGACGGAGCAGCGCCGCGUGAGUGAUGAAGGUCUUCGGAUCGUAAAACUCUGUUAUUAGGGAAGAACAUAUGUGUAAGUAACUGUGCACAUCUUGACGGUACCUAAUCAGAAAGCCACGGCUAACUACGUG
Molecule: ribosomal RNA, 497 nt
Filed under: uncultured bacterium
Lineage: Bacteria
Description: partial 16S ribosomal RNA
Rfam family: Bacterial small subunit ribosomal RNA
Source: RNAcentral